AUUUUCAAGCGGUGCAUUUUGUUUGUCUCCCUUGUGGGGCCCUGUGUAUUAUUUUUGGAUUUUUGAACCUCUGUUUUCUAUACUGUGGAUUUGCUGCUCCUAUAUUAAAAGGAUUUACAGUGUCAACUUUGCUCUACUAUCAGGACUCCUUUUCUUCAACAUGGCCUACACACAAUUACUGAGGCAAAAUAUUGAAAGACCUGUGCAAAACAAAGGUUUUCCGAGAGCUGCACCUUCUCCCAAAUGAUACGGUCGAUUUCCCAAGACGACAAAGAAAAUCUGAUGCACAGCAAAUAGAGGAAGAGAAUGCAAGACACAAUUUAAUCACCUGCCAGAAGAGUCUGACAACAUACACAUUUCUUGGAGAAGGCCUAUUGCAGCAACAACAAGAAUAAAUGAAGACAGAUAAUGGACAGUUGACAACCGGGCGGGAAAGUACAUCUGUCGGCAAUCUGUUCCUUUUUUUUCGAAGCACACAGGUUUGGUGAAGUGAUACCCACAGUGCCAAUGUGUCAGAAUGAUUCACCUCUGCCUCAAGAAAGAAAGAAAUCUUAGAAGCACAUGAAGCAUCUAAGAUUUCAUGUAUGAAUUCUUUUGCUACUGUUGAGCACGUGUUUAUUCAACAAAAAACUUAAAAAUUUAGAAGAAAUUCUCAGGCAAUUUAAAAAAACAUAUGAAAAAUUAGAACGAGUGGAAUUUUUUUUUAUUUUAUUUUCAGGAACACCAGCAAAAGACAUAUCAAAAGUUGGAUCAAAUCCAGGCUAGACUUACCUUGAAGAAAAAUAGAAGAAAUUGAAACAAUGGUUAUUUACCUAAAAGAGAUCAAUCUCAAUAUUUCAGAACUUCUAUUACAACUGGUUCAAUCAGUAGACACCUUUAUCUCUACCUAGAGACAGCGUAGAUGGCAAAUGUAAUUUUAGGGUUUGGAUAAAAACCUAAAUUUAUAUUAAAAAAAAUAACAAAAAUACAUUUUAAAAAAGUCUUCAGAACGACCAAAUAAAAUCAUACACAGUGAUGGGUCUGAUCAGCCUGCUAAUAAUCCUUCAGCGAGUGGUUGACUAAUGGUAGAUAUAUUGGCAUUAAUGCUUUUAGUCAAAAAGUAGCAGAACUGAUGGCUAGAUUAGAUGACCACCGCAGAUGGUUAGCAUGUAUAUAUUUUGGGAUGCUUUACCCUGCAGACCAAUGCAACUCUGUUUCUGUUGCUGUUAAUCGGAAUAGUCAAACAAAAACUGCUUCUGCUUCGGGUGUGCUUGUUAAUUCUAGUGCUGAAGCUGCUGAUGCUGUUGAUUGUAAUCUCAUGGCAUCCUCUGACUGGUUUGAUGCAAUUGGUGAUAUUGAUGUUCAAGGACCCUCUGUCGGGUCAUUUUGACAUUGAUGAGCUGCUAGCAUCUUCUAGUAAUCAUUUUGAAGCAGCUGACGAUGGGGAUGCAUGUAAAUUUAGAUGCAAUAUAUGCUUUACUAUUAAAACUACCCAUCACAGAUGGUGAAAU
Molecule: long non-coding RNA, 1490 nt
Organism: Oreochromis niloticus (Nile tilapia)
Lineage: Eukaryota; Metazoa; Chordata; Actinopteri; Cichliformes; Cichlidae
Exons: 5
Source: RefSeq, a predicted model, not a curated record